CUCGCCGGCCCCAAAACAGCACAGAGGACUUGCUCAAGCAGAACUGCCCUCAGAGCUUCUGUCAGGGUCCAGGGAGUCCCCCUGUCCCGCCAGAAGCCGCUGGGGAUGCGCCGCGGGCCGCCAGGCUGACGGAGGGGUCCGCGCACGGCUCAACUCAGAGCAUCACCGGAGCCUCGGGUCCUCUUGCUUCUCACAACUACCGCUGCUUCCCCUUGCAACUUAAAAGGUGGAGAACUGUACUUUCCCAUGACAAUCAAGAUGGGAAAAAAACCGUGCAUCUUACCUUAUAAAAGGAAAAGAAUAGCAUGCAUUCAGCAAUAAUUUAUUCCACCAGCUGCUUUUUCUCAUUCCCUGUGGUCAGAAGACUUUGUCCUAAACCUGAAGCCUGGAUUUGUCAAAAGCAAAAAUAAGAAAGCUGUAAGUUUAGACUUGAAGUGCUUCCUGGAAUAACUAUCAGCCUUGCAAAGACAAAGGUGAAGUACAUCCUCCCAGAUGUCACAAGAGCCCCUUCCUUCACUGAUGGAGAUGUCUGGAAUAAAGUGAUAUGCCCCAUCUCA
Molecule: long non-coding RNA, 557 nt
Filed under: Cyanistes caeruleus (blue tit)
Lineage: Eukaryota; Metazoa; Chordata; Aves; Passeriformes; Paridae
Description: lncRNA (ENSCCEG00000006908.1)
Source: RNAcentral